Notechis scutatus (mainland tiger snake) is the source of this 222-nucleotide non-coding RNA. NCBI's taxonomy places the organism in Eukaryota, Metazoa, Chordata, Lepidosauria, Squamata, Elapidae. The record is from RefSeq and is a predicted model, not a curated record.
CAGCCCUUCAUCUCAAAGGCUCCCAGCUGUAUUUCAGAAACCUUUUGGAACUGGUUGGCUUUCACUUUGUGAGCAGGGAUAUCCUGCCCUGUUUGCUCAGGAUCCCUCAUGCCUUUCACCUUCCUGGCAGAGCUGAUUUAGAUGCAGUUGCCACCUUGGGCCCAACGUUCUGGGCGAUGCCUCUUAAACCUACCAACGGCCAGGCCUCAGACGACGCUGAAG